Molecule: long non-coding RNA, 1372 nt
Filed under: Equus asinus (donkey)
Lineage: Eukaryota; Metazoa; Chordata; Mammalia; Perissodactyla; Equidae
Description: lncRNA (ENSEASG00005036972.1)
Source: RNAcentral
GCCCCGCCCAUUUCCAGGCAGCUGGCCUCCGCCGGCCUCCGACGCCCGCCACGCUCUUCCUCUAAAGGCUCACGGGAUCCCGCCUUGACCGCUCGUCCAUCGUCUCUUCACCCUCCCUGGCCCCUCCAGACUUGCGUCCACCUUCUCCAGGCCCUUCCCCCACGGCCCUCCCCUAGACCGACCUCUGCUCCUGAAACCCCUCCAGCAAUUUGGCCCCUCCCAUUGCCCCUUCGGGACCUGUCCCCCCACCCCCGACCCUCCCGCCGCUGCCCAGCGCAGGAGUGACUUUGUUCCCCGCCGUCCUCGUUGUCACCCUCCACUCCUCCAUCAAGUUGCCAAGUCCAGUUUCCGCUGGAAACUUCGUCUGCAGAACCGAGAAAGAGGGUGUUGAGAAGGGCUCUGAGCCUCGGUUUCCUCAACUGUACAAUGGAGGUCUUUGCCAGUAUUGAUUAGGUAUGAGCGGGGGGUUGAGGGGCGGGGAGGUAACAGGUCAGCUGGGCACUGGUUCUGAUGGCCAACGCCCGGCAUCCAUCCGUGUGCGGGCCUCUGCUGAUAGAGAAAGACCCAAGAGAAGCAGCCGGAGGUCCCCUGGUGGCUCACUUUCAGGAUCGGGGAGAUGGAGAUGGAGAGAGUGCUGGGGGGUCCCAACUAGCUAAGUCUCCAACAUCCUCCCCCUGCAGUCACCUUGGCCUCCACUCCUCAGACCCAGACCCAUCAGGGAAGGUCCUUCCUCAGGCGCCACCCCCCUUCCGGUCUUCCCAUCCUUGUAAAACUUGCUUCCUCAUUACCUUUGGGUUCCUGUGUCGCCUCCUCAAAGAGCCUUCCCUGACCACCCUACCAAAAACGACAACUUCCCUCCCUCUCUAGCCCCUGCCCUGCUUCUGGUUAGGCUUGGCCAAGGCAUUUGUGUUCUUAUCUGCUUCACAAACUCCCUUUCCUGCACGCGUCCCACACACACAGGGUUACCUCCGCAGAUUCUGUGCCCUAGAACCAGCGCUGAGCCAACUCAUCCCACUUUUCCUGGCAUCCAGCCCAGGGCAGAUGCCAGAAAACAUUUGUUGAAUGAAGAAAUGAACAUUGCUUGGGCUCUCUCCUUUUAUUUCAGUAAUACUCCAGGUAUUGUCCACAUAGGGAAUUUUUAAAUGUCGACCAGUGUCGAGUUAUAUUUUGGACUUGAAGAGGGCAUGAGCAGGCCCAUUAGAGCAUAUUCUAUUUCUUUAUCUGGGUACUGAUUACAUGGUGUAGUCAGUUUACAAAAAUUAAACAAGCUGUAACUUCAUGAUUUAUGUACUUUUCUGUAUAUAAAUAUUCAGAAUAUAAAAAUGAAUUAAGAAUAAAAAGAUUUAAAGUCCUUGAAAAAAUUCUGUUUAGC